This 1023-nucleotide long non-coding RNA is filed under the name Cucumis sativus (cucumber). Its description in RNAcentral is "long non-coding RNA (CSAT_LNC001084)". The record is from RNAcentral. Lineage: Eukaryota; Viridiplantae; Streptophyta; Magnoliopsida; Cucurbitales; Cucurbitaceae.
CUCUCAAACAGAAAAUAGACUACGUUAACAUUUUUCUGUAUCUAUGGAAAAUCAAGCAAACCUAUAAAGUUACAAGCUGAUGUUUGGGUUAACAUUUUUCUGUAUCUAUGGAAAAUCAAGCAUACCUAUAAAGUUACAAGCUGAUGUUUGGUAAAUCUCGGUGAAGUCAGCUAUUUAUAUUUAUUGAGCUUCUAUUUGAUCAGGCUCUGUGUAAUAACCUGCAUUCAACACUAAUCGAACAUAGCCUUUUCAUAUUGACAAUGCGUAAGUGAACACCCUCAGUAUAAUUUAUAAGUGCAUGUUUAGAUUUUCGAUUUGGUAUUUGAAUAGUAUGGAUUCAAUAUGAGCCCGCGCAGAUCCUCAAUAACUUCAAGAUCAAAUUGGUUUGGACUUGUGUUUAGUUCAUGGAUGGAUAUAGAUCAUGAGGCUUGAAUCCAUGGGAUAGAUCACGAGGUUUGAAUCAAUAAGUAUCAACAUUUUUUCCUACAUCAAUAAUUUCUCAUGGGAAGAUUCUGGCUGCUGCCUGCCUUGAUGUUAGAUUUUCAGAUGGGUUUUUACACCUUUCUUCAUCCAUCGUUCCCUCACACUACUUUGGAUAUUGAAGGUUGAAGAGUGGAACAAGAGCUGGUAGCCUGAAUGGUACAAGUUGAUGGUAUAAAAACCAUGGGUUCGACCCAAACAUGUCGGGGCUGAAUGGUUUGCUUGGCUCAAUUUUAACAAACUAGCUUUUGAUGUUUUGAUAUUACUGAAAUGGUCCGUUUGAAUCGUAGAUAUUGUUUCAUGUGUAUAAAUAUUACAAAUAUGAGAUUCAAAUGUCUAAGUUUUAAAUGUUUAGAAAAUUAAUGUUCGUGUUUGGACAUGCAGGAUAAUUAAUGUAUGAGAAUUAAGUGUGUUUGUUUUACAGGUUUUUAUGUAUUGAAAUUUGCAUGUUUUGUAGAAUAUGUUUACGAAGUUAACCAAAAUUUAAAGAUGUGUUCGUAUGAGGUUUUCAAAUAAAUGUGUUUUGUGAAGUUGAACUUGUGU